GAAUGCUGACAUAAGUAACGAUAAAGCGGGUGAAAAGCCCGCUCGCCGGAAGACCAAGGGUUCCUGUCCAACGUUAAUCGGGGCAGGGUGAGUCGACCCCUAAGGCGAGGCCGAAAGGCGUAGUCGAUGGGAAACAGGUUAAUAUUCCUGUACUUGGUGUUACUGCGAAGGGGGGACGGAGAAGGCUAUGUUGGCCGGGCGACGGUUGUCCCGGUUUAAGCGUGUAGGCUGGUUUUCCAGGCAAAUCCGGAAAACCAAGGCUGAGGCGUGAUGACGAGGCACUACGGUGCUGAAGCGACAAAUGCCCUGCUUCCAGGAAAAGCCUCUAAGCAUCAGGUAACAUCAAAUCGUACCCCAAACCGACACAGGUGGUCAGGUAGAGAAUACCAAGGCGCUUGAGAGAACUCGGGUGAAGGAACUAGGCAAAAUGGUGCCGUAACUUCGGGAGAAGGCACGCUGAUAUGUAGGUGAAGCGACUUGCUCGUGGAGCUGAAAUCAGUCGAAGAUACCAGCUGGCUGCAACUGUUUAUUAAAAACACAGCACUGUGCAAACACGAAAGUGGACGUAUACGGUGUGACGCCUGCCCGGUGCCGGAAGGUUAAUUGAUGGGGUUAGCGGUAACGCGAAGCUCUUGAUCGAAGCCCCGGUAAACGGCGGCCGUAACUAUAACGGUCCUAAGGUAGCGAAAUUCCUUGUCGGGUAAGUUCCGACCUGCACGAAUGGCGUAAUGAUGGCCAGGCUGUCUCCACCCGAGACUCAGUGAAAUUGAACUCGCUGUGAAGAUGCAGUGUACCCGCGGCAAGACGGAAAGACCCCGUGAACCUUUACUAUAGCUUGACACUGAACAUUGAGCCUUGAUGUGUAGGAUAGGUGGGAGGCUUUGAAGUGUGGACGCCAGUCUGCAUGGAGCCGACCUUGAAAUACCACCCUUUAAUGUUUGAUGUUCUAACGUGGGCCCCUAAUCGGGGUUGCGGACAGUGUCUGGUGGGUAGUUUGACUGGGGCGGUCUCCUCCUAAAGAGUAACGGAGGAGCACGAAGGUUGGCUAAUCCUGGUCGGACAUCAGGAGGUUAGUGCAAUGGCAUAAGCCAGCUUGACUGCGAGCGUGACGGCGCGAGCAGGUGCGAAAGCAGGUCAUAGUGAUCCGGUGGUUCUGAAUGGAAGGGCCAUCGCUCAACGGAUAAAAGGUACUCCGGGGAUAACAGGCUGAUACCGCCCAAGAGUUCAUAUCGACGGCGGUGUUUGGCACCUCGAUGUCGGCUCAUCACAUCCUGGGGCUGAAGUAGGUCCCAAGGGUAUGGCUGUUCGCCAUUUAAAGUGGUACGCGAGCUGGGUUUAGAACGUCGUGAGACAGUUCGGUCCCUAUCUGCCGUGGGCGCUGGAGAACUGAGGGGGGCUGCUCCUAGUACGAGAGGACCGGAGUGGACGCAUCACUGGUGUUCGGGUUGUCAUGCCAAUGGCACUGCCCGGUAGCUAAAUGCGGAAGAGAUAAGUGCUGAAAGCAUCUAAGCACGAAACUUGCCCCGAGAUGAGUUCUCCCUGAGACUUAGAGUCUCCUGAAGGAACGUUGAAGACGACGACGUUGAUAGGCCGGGUGUGUAAGCGCAGCGAUGCGUUGAGCUAACCGGUACUAAUGAACCGUGAGGCUUAACCUU
Molecule: ribosomal RNA, 1655 nt
Filed under: Escherichia coli
Lineage: Bacteria; Pseudomonadati; Pseudomonadota; Gammaproteobacteria; Enterobacterales; Enterobacteriaceae
Description: partial 23S ribosomal RNA
Rfam family: Bacterial large subunit ribosomal RNA
Source: RNAcentral